UACGUAGGGUGCGAGCGUUGUCCGGAAUUAUUGGGCGUAAAGAGCUCGUAGGCGGUGUGUCACGUCGUUCGUGAAAACCUGCAGCUUAACUGUGGGCGUGCGGUCGAUACGGGCAUCACUGGAGUUCGGCAGGGGAGACUGGAAUUCCUGGUGUAGCGGUGAAAUGCGCAGAUAUCAGGAGGAACACCGGUGGCGAAGGCGGGUCGCUGGGACGUUACUGACGCUGAGACGCGAAAGCGUGGGGAGCGAACAGG
This 254-nucleotide ribosomal RNA is filed under the name uncultured bacterium. RNAcentral describes it as "partial 16S ribosomal RNA". It matches the Rfam family "Bacterial small subunit ribosomal RNA", at positions 524 to 776 of the family's 1533-position model. The record is from RNAcentral.